GCGGCGCGGGUCCUCCAUAUGCUGAGCGCCGGUCCCCUGGGCCCACUUUUCUUUCUCUAUACUUUGUCUCUGUUGUCUUUCUUUUCUCAAGUCUCUCGUUCCACCUGAGGAGAAAUGCCCACAGCUGUGGAGGCGCAGGCCACUCCAUCUGGUGCCCAACGUGGAUGCUUUUCUCUAGGGUGAAGGGACUCUCGAGUGUGGUCAUUGAGGACAAGUCAACGAGAGAUUCCCGAGUACGUCUACAGUGAGCCUUGUGGGUGAAGGUACUCUACAGUGUGGUCAUUGAGGACAAGUUGACGAGAGAGUCCCAAGUACGUCCACGGUCAGCCUUGCGGUAAGCUUGUGUGCUUAGAGGAACCCAGGGUAACGAUGGGGCAAACUGAAAGUAAAUAUGCCUCUUAUCUCAGCUUUAUUAAAAUUCUUUUAAGAAGAGGGGGAGUUAGAGCUUCUACAGAAAAUCUAAUUACGCUAUUUCAAACAAUAGAACAAUUCUGCCCAUGGUUUCCAGAACAGGGAACUUUAGAUCUAAAAGAUUGGGAAAAAAUUGGCAAAGAAUUAAAACAAGCAAAUAGGGAAGGUAAAAUCAUCCCACUUACAGUAUGGAAUGAUUGGGCCAUUAUUAAAGCAACUUUAGAACCAUUUCAAACAGGAGAAGAUAUUGUUUCAGUUUCUGAUGCCCCUAAAAGCUGUGUAACAGAUUGUGAAGAAGAGGCAGGGACAGAAUCCCAGCAAGGAACGGAAAGUUCACAUUGUAAAUAUGUAGCAGAGUCUGUAAUGGCUCAGUCAACGCAAAAUGUUGACUACAGUCAAUUACAGGAGAUAAUAUACCCUGAAUCAUCAAAAUUGGGGGAAGGAGGUCCAGAAUCAUUGGGGCCAUCAGAGCCUAAACCACGAUCGCCAUCAACUCCUCCUCCCGUGGUUCAGAUGCCUGUAACAUUACAACCUCAAACGCAGGUUAGACAAGCACAAACCCCAA
This 976-nucleotide long non-coding RNA is filed under the name Homo sapiens (human). Its description in RNAcentral is "prostate cancer associated transcript 14". Lineage: Eukaryota; Metazoa; Chordata; Mammalia; Primates; Hominidae. The record is from RNAcentral.